Molecule: ribosomal RNA, 579 nt
Filed under: Sarocladium bacillisporum
Lineage: Eukaryota; Fungi; Ascomycota; Sordariomycetes; Hypocreales; Sarocladiaceae
Description: partial large subunit ribosomal RNA
Rfam family: Eukaryotic large subunit ribosomal RNA
Source: RNAcentral
CGGAGGAAAAGAAACCAACAGGGAUUGCCUCAGUAACGGCGAGUGAAGCGGCAACAGCUCAAAUUUGAAAUCUGGCCGCAAGGUCCGAGUUGUAAUUUGUAGAGGAUGCUUUUGGCGAGGUGACUUCCGAGUUCCCUGGAACGGGACGCCAUAGAGGGUGAGAGCCCCGUACGGUCGUGCCACCGAGCCUCUGUAAAGCUCCUUCGACGAGUCGAGUAGUUUGGGAAUGCUGCUCUAAAUGGGAGGUGUACGUCUUCUAAAGCUAAAUACCGGCCAGAGACCGAUAGCGCACAAGUAGAGUGAUCGAAAGAUGAAAAGCACUUUGAAAAGAGGGUUAAAAAGUACGUGAAAUUGUUGAAAGGGAAGCAUUCAUGACCAGACUUGGGCUUGGUUGAACAUCCGGCGUUCUCGCCGGUGCACUCUGCCAGCUCAGGCCAGCAUCAGUUUGCCCCGGGGGACAAAGGCGGCGGGAAUGUGGCUCCCUACGGGGAGUGUUAUAGCCCGUCGUGUAAUGCCCUGGGGUGGACUGAGGUUCGCGCUUCGGCACGGAUGCUGGCGUAAUGGUCAUCAAUGACCCGU